Long non-coding RNA from Tribolium castaneum (red flour beetle), 1395 nucleotides. RefSeq lists it as uncharacterized. NCBI's taxonomy places the organism in Eukaryota, Metazoa, Arthropoda, Insecta, Coleoptera, Tenebrionidae. The record is from RefSeq and is a predicted model, not a curated record. The transcript has 4 exons.
UCAUAUGAUGAACGAUUAAAACAUGAGCAAAUUGUUUUGUGCAACGCAAUCAAAAUUAACAAGCCAUCAAUUUUUGACGGACCAUCAUAUGAUGGCCGAUUAAUUUGACUGUGCAACCGGGCAUUAUUAAUCGACCAUCAUGUGAUGGUCCGUCAAAAUUUGAUGGCUUGUUAAUUUUGAUUGCGUUGCACAAAACAAUUUGCACAUGUUUUAAUCGUUCAUCAUAUGAUGCUCCGUUAAUCGUCCAUUAGCAAAUAACUAAUUUGGCAACAAGGUCAUGAUGUGUCACAGUUUUUCAAUUUGACAUUUGUCACUAGCGAAUUGUUCUACUUUGGUUGUUUUCCUCGUUAUUCUGUUGUGCUGUGUUGUGGUUGUGUGUAAAGGAUGGCGUCCUCGUGUUCUUCAUCUUCGAAGAGAGUGAACUACACCCACAAUGAAAAAAAUAUUUUUCUUUCGGUGGUAGCAAAGUAAGUUUUUAUUAAAUUUGUUUUAGGGGAACGAUUUAUAAGAAUACGAUAAAAGAUUUCAACACUUUAGUAUUACAAGUAAUUUUAUUCACUUCGUAACUUCCUUUUUUUCUAUUUCCCACUUUCAACUCCUUUAAUGUUCAAUGUUUUCCCAAUUUCAGUUUCUUAAUCCUUGUGAAUGCCUUAUCCUCUAAAUUCUAGAUAUAAUCAUGUUAUCGAAGACAAAAGCACCAAGGCAUGAAAUCUGAAGCGUGGGAGGAAAUCGCUGAAAAAUUUAAUUGUUUGGCUAAAUCUGGGGCUAGAACGGCCAAGCAAUUAAAAAUUUUUUAUAAGAAUCUUGAGCGAGACACGCGCAAAAGAGUGGCACAGGAGCAUCAAGAAGAAUAUGAAGCCCGAAUAAGGAAAGACGAGGCGAAGAAGGCCGCUGCUCACGACAAGAGAGAAAUAAUGAAAACGGGAGGAGGCAUUUCCAACUUGGAAAUGACCUCUGAACAAGAGGUACUACUGGCCACUCUACGUGAGCAAGUGGAGCCGCUGGUGAAUCCGUACGACAGUGCGGCGGAUUAUUUUAAUGAUUCUCGAGAUGAUUUCAAAAAUUUUGAAAUGCCAGUCUCCGAACUUAUUACCCCUGAACCUUCCACCCACCCUUCCGAACUUGAAUGCCCUGGACCCUCUGCUCUACCCCCUGAAGCUAUCUCCGUUUCUCCCAAAUCAGUUCCCCCCCGACCAACACGUAGUAAAAAAACUAAAUCAAAAAAAAUUAAUUAUAAGGAUCUAUAUUAUAAAGAAAAAAUUUUAACAGAAAAAAAGAAGCAAAUAUUGUUAAAUUUAGAAAUAAGAAAAAUUAAAUUAGAAAUUAAAAAAAUGCAAGACUGAAAUUUGUUUUUUUAUCUAGCGAAAAUAGUAUCUAUGAGGGAAUUUCGAACUG